Austrofundulus limnaeus is the source of this 474-nucleotide long non-coding RNA. RefSeq lists it as uncharacterized. The transcript has 2 exons. The record is from RefSeq and is a predicted model, not a curated record. Lineage: Eukaryota; Metazoa; Chordata; Actinopteri; Cyprinodontiformes; Rivulidae.
AGCCACACGCAGCUUUCUCUUUAGUGCCACAGCACGUGAGAAAAGUUAAAGGAAAGCACUACUUUUUUUUUUUCUAAAGAAAAAUACUCGUUACCCUACUGUGGUGGGCGGGGCAUGCAACAUAUCGCUUCAUGGCAUAAAUAUAGGCUACAUCUGACGCAUCUUUUUUCCCCCCAUUCCUAUUAAUAUUCGAGUGAGGUUUCAAACUCAAAUUACAAAAACCUUCGUGCUUUUUGUGCGAGAAGGCGGGCGAUGUCUCCGCCUCCUCCUCCUCCGCCGCUGCAUCUGGAGGAGCGGAGCGCGCGGUGCGUCGGCCGUCGUCCGACACGCGGUGCAGAGAGAUGCGAGCAUCAUCAGACGCUUCAUCAGAACGAUCAGAGACCUCACCGAGAAAACAACAACAACAACAGCAGAAUGAAGCUGCUGCAUGACAGGACAUGACCAACACAAACUACAGACUGUAAACCUCCACAA